Long non-coding RNA from Trematomus bernacchii (emerald rockcod), 1240 nucleotides. RefSeq lists it as uncharacterized. Lineage: Eukaryota; Metazoa; Chordata; Actinopteri; Perciformes; Nototheniidae. The transcript has 3 exons. The record is from RefSeq and is a predicted model, not a curated record.
AGCGUCACAUGAGGAGGUACGCGUCAGAUAGCGUCACAUGAGGAGGUACGCGUCAGAUAGCGUCACAUGAGGAGGUACGCGUCAGAUAGCGUCACAUGAGGAGGUACGCGUCAGAUAGCGUCACAUGAGGAGGUACGUGUCAGAUAGCGUCACAUGAGGAGGUACGCGUCAGAUAGCAUCACAUGAGGAGGUACACGUCAGAUAGCAUCACAUGAGGUACACGUCAGAUAGCGUCACAUGAGGAGGUACGCGUCAGAUAGCGUCACAUGAGGAGGUACGCGUCAGAUAGCGUCACAUGAGGAGGUACACGUCAGAUAGCAUCACAUGAGGUACGCGUCAGAUAGCGUCACAUGAGGAGGUACGCGUCAGAUAGCGUCACAUGAGGAGGUACGCGUCAGAUAGCGUCACAUGAGGAGGUACGCGUCAGAUAGCGUCACAUGAGGAGGUACGCGUCAGAUAGCGUCACAUGAGGAGGUACGCGUCAGAUAGCGUCACAUGAGGAGGUACACGUCAGAUAGCAUCACAUGAGGAGGUACGCGUCAGAUAGCGUCACAUGAGGAGGUACGCGUCAGAUAGCGUCACAUGAGGAGGUACGCGUCAGAUAGCGUCACAUGAGGAGGUACGCGUCAGAUAGCGUCACAUGAGGAGGUACGCGUCAGAUAGCGUCACAUGAGGAGGUACGCGUCAGAUAGCGUCACAUGAGGAGGUACGCGUCAGAUAGCGUCACAUGAGGAGGUACGCGUCAGAUAGCGCCACAUGAGGAGGUACGCGUCAGAUAGCGCCACAUGAGGAGGUACGCGUCAGAUAGCGCCACAUGAGGAGGUACGCGUCAGAUAGCGUCACAUGAGGAGGUACGCGUCAGAUAGCGUCACAUGAGGAGGUACGCGUCAGAUAGCGUCACAUGAGGAGGUACGUGUCAGAUAGCAUCACAUGAGGUACACGUCAGAUAGCGUCACAUGAGGAGGUACACGUCAGAUAGCGUCACAUGAGGAGGUACACGUCAGAUAGCGUCACAUGAGGAGGUACACGUCAGAUAGCGUCACAUGAGGAGGUACACGUCAGAUAGCGUCACAUGAGGAGGUACACGUCAGAUAGCGUCACAUGAGGAGGUACACGUCAGAUAGCAUCACAUGAGGUACACGUCAGAUAGCGUCACAUGAGGAGGUACACGUCAGAUAGCGCCACAUGAGGAGGUACACGUCAGAUAGCGCCACAUGAGGAGGUACACGUCAGAUAGCGU